GUGCUUGCUUUAGCAGCACAUAUACUAAAACUGGAACAAUAUGGAUAAGAUUAACAUGGCCCCUUCUUUAGAAUGACACACAACUUUGUGAAGCAUUUUGUAUUUCA
Molecule: small nuclear RNA, 107 nt
Organism: Protopterus annectens (West African lungfish)
Lineage: Eukaryota; Metazoa; Chordata; Ceratodontiformes; Protopteridae
Source: RefSeq, a predicted model, not a curated record